UUGAACGCUGGCGGCAUGCUUUACACAUGCAAGUCGAACGGCAGCGGGGGCUUCGGCCUGCCGGCGAGUGGCGAACGGGUGAGUAAUGCAUCGGAACGUACCCAGUCGUGGGGGAUAACUACGCGAAAGCGUAGCUAAUACCGCAUACGCCCUGAGGGGGAAAGCGGGGGACCUUCGGGCCUCGCGCGAUUGGAGCGGCUGAUGUCGGAUUAGCUAGUUGGUGGGGUAAAGGCCUACCAAGGCGACGAUCCGUAGCUGGUCUGAGAGGAUGAUCAGCCACACUGGGACUGAGACACGGUCCAGACUCCUACGGGAGGCAGCAGUGGGGAAUUUUGGACAAUGGGGGCAACCCUGAUCCAGCCAUGCCGCGUGCGGGAAGAAGGCCUUCGGGUUGUAAACCGCUUUCGGACAGAAAGAAAUCGCUGCUCCUAAUACGGGUGGUGGAUGACGGUACUGUAAGAAGAAGCACCGGCUAACUACGU
This 482-nucleotide ribosomal RNA is filed under the name uncultured bacterium. RNAcentral's name for it is "bacterial SSU rRNA". It matches the Rfam family "Bacterial small subunit ribosomal RNA", at positions 29 to 506 of the family's 1533-position model. The record is from RNAcentral.